Long non-coding RNA from Lagopus muta (rock ptarmigan), 675 nucleotides. RefSeq lists it as uncharacterized. The record is from RefSeq and is a predicted model, not a curated record. The transcript is spliced from 3 exons. NCBI's taxonomy places the organism in Eukaryota, Metazoa, Chordata, Aves, Galliformes, Phasianidae.
UGUGGAGUUUACUGUGAGCCUACAACACUGAAAAACUGGUACUGUAACCUGUGAUGGCCAAAGCACAAGGCAGCCAUCUCUCCCAGUGUUUCUGCAAUGUGCCAUUGCUCAGGGAAAGAUCUGAUGUGAGAGUGGAAAUGCACAGCCUCCCAAGUCUGCAGCAUCUUCUACUGGGUGGACUAAAUAUGUGACUGGAGAGAGACUGUCAGCUGGGUUAAGUCUGCAGUUAUUUUACCCUCUUAAAUACUGAUUGGAAAAGAUGUCAUUCUGGUAGGUCCUCUACAUGCCUCAUUUUUUUUCCUUUUAUCAAAACAGUGGGCAGAUCUACAAGAAAUUCUUACCGGGAAAGAACAUGGCAUAACUCCACCAUAUCCCAGUAAAGACAUCCAUCCAGUGGCCUCUUUUAUUCUUUUGCUUAUGAAACUUUUCUUUCAUUUACAUACAACGAAUGUCCAAGUUAAAUGAAAUGAGCAAAAGGAGCUAUAAACAAUGAUAACGUAAUUACCUAUAAGCAAAUAGUAUCCUCAUAGUGCAAUAACUUUCCACAGAGCUUUGACCUUUUUUCUCAAUGUGGUUUUUAGAUUUUUCUCCAUUUACACACCAAUAAACUACAUAUGUAGGAUGCUCUCUGGCACUGUCUGGCAGAGCAAGAAUUGGUGUCUUGGUGUUCUUCGA